UCAUGGCAGUGUGGUGUUCUGUGACUGGCUGUGCUAAUUGCAAACAAGCGCGAAAAUGUGUUAUCUUUCGCCGUUUUACCUACAAGAGAUUUACGCCAAUGCUGCCAGUGGCUUGCAGCUAUCAAGAAUGAUGCUUACAGUGACCAAAGAUUAUCAGAGGGAUUUUCAGGCUGAACUGAUGGGGAAUCCAUUUUGACGACAGAUGAGAAGUGAUGCAAAACCAUCGUUUUUUUCCCUUCACAACAAAACGGAAGAUUCUCGAUUAGAGGUAGUACAGAAUCUGAUUCCACCAGCAUGUGCUUCCAACCCCGAGCUCUGCACAAGGUGAAGGAGAGGCGCAGUACCAGCAAAUCUUCUGCAAGAGGUCCAAACAGUUGGUGGUUGACGUCUACGAACCCUAGACCGCUUCCGGCAGAGUCUUAUCCAGCUGGCCAUACGCGCAGACAGGACAAGAACAUUCGCCACAAGCACAAAGAGUCUCAGCUUCCAUAGCCCACCAUGCUAAACACCAUUGCCAGUGUACUGAAGCCAGAUAAAGGACUGUGGCUGCGUUUACACAGGCAGCUCAAUUCUGAUCUUUUUUUCACUAAUUGGUCUUUUAACCAAUCAGAUUGUAGGCUCUCAUUUAUGUGUUCUCUGUCACCUGGAGCUGCAUGGCAAAUGGUCCAGGAACAAAGGACAAUGCCAAAGGACUAGUCAGCCCUUCCCCCUCUGAGGGGCCAAAAUCUUUCUCUGUUACAGUAUCCAGAGGACUGACUAUUGAAUGAGUGACACAAUAAUGCUAUACUAUCCAUGUCUGGUAUCUAGCUGAAACUUGUUCACUGAGGAUAAUUCUGAUUCUAUAUGUAUGUAGUCCCCUGUAGCUCAGUUGGUAGAGCAUGGCGCUUGCAACACCAGGGUUGUGGGUUCGUUUCCCACGG
This is a long non-coding RNA of Coregonus clupeaformis (lake whitefish), 920 nucleotides long. RefSeq lists it as uncharacterized. The transcript has 3 exons. Lineage: Eukaryota; Metazoa; Chordata; Actinopteri; Salmoniformes; Salmonidae. The record is from RefSeq and is a predicted model, not a curated record.